Molecule: long non-coding RNA, 1178 nt
Filed under: Rattus norvegicus (Norway rat)
Lineage: Eukaryota; Metazoa; Chordata; Mammalia; Rodentia; Muridae
Description: long non-coding RNA NONRATT005638
Source: RNAcentral
GGCAGUGCAGAUCUCAGUCUCUUGGCCUCUCAGUAGUUUGGCACAUCUCUGGCCCUGGGUUGUUUGACAGGAUCCCUGUGCUCACUGGGACAUGAGGAAAAGUCCUCACUUCCCCAACAAACCUCUUGAUUCUGAUUCUUCCAAAACAAACUUUCUUUUUGUGAUGUGAGUUAACAGAAAAGUGAGGUCAGAUUAUGGGAUUCUGUGACCACUGAAACUUACAUGAAUAUAGUUUGAACCAUUUCCUAGAUUGACUGUACCAGAAAUAACCGAAAAGCACACCAAAAGCAUAGGGCGUUUUGUUUCGUUGUUACAGGAAUACAGUAUAUGUUCAUUUGAAAAUGAAUGGACAUGCCAAUUGCGUCUCCAUAGGAGAUAGAUUUUAUAUACUUCGGUGUGUUUUUUUCACUAUGAAUUUUUACUUGUUUUUUCCACUUCUUUCUCUGCCAUUCCGUGUCCUCCCGUCUUUUAUAUUUCUUUUGUACUUGCGUGAGGCAAAGUGUCCACAUCCUGGAUCUUGAAAUGGAACCAUAACACUGUCACUAGGGUCCUCUGGGAAUUAGGAAACACAUUGGAGCUAUUGGCAUGUUGUGUAACAUGCUUCCUAGAGUUGUCAUGCCUUCGGCCACUAUUUUAUUUUGUGGCUAUAUUUUCCUUUCACAGGUGAGUUCUAUCUGUGUUAGCUAAGAUUUUGCCCUUCCAUCCUCUUCAGGAUGACUAAGCUACUUAAGUAUUUUGAGUUUGCAUUAAAGCUCUUGAACCUUGCUUGUAUCGUUGAGCCACUCUGCUCCGAAGUCUGCAGUCAUUUCUUAGCCCUUAUCAAAUGCAUAUUUUGUGUCUUUCUCUGAGCCCUUCUCCUACUUCUCCCUAGCAGGGACGUCAAUUUAAGUUUCUUCAGUCUUUCAAGACCCUGACACUAAAAUCUUAAAACUAAGGUCUACUUCACUGUCUUCUUUAAAUCCUUACGAAGCUUCAAAUCUGUACUAAAAUUCUUAUACCAAAUCAUAUAUUGUCUUGUACUGUUCUUAGCUGCUACAUGUAUGUUAGUUUUGUUUCCCUCAUGAGAAUGUAAGCUCCUUAAGGGCAGGGACUAUGUCUUAAUUUUUGUAUCCACCACAGUGCCUAGCACUGUGCUUGGCACAUGGGUGCUGAAUAAAUACUUUUGUUUAUUGAUCAGC